CAGCCGCCGCGGUAAUACCGAGGGUGCAAGCGUUAAUCGGAUUUACUGGGCGUAAAGGGCGCGUAGGUGGUUAUGUAAGUGAGAUGUGAAAUCCCCGGGCUCAACCUGGGAACUGCAUCUUAUACUGCGUAGCUGGAGUGCAGUAGAGGGUAGUGGAAUUUCCGGUGUAGCGGUGAAAUGCGUAGAUAUCGGAAGGAACACCAGUGGCGAAGGCGGCUACCUGGACUGACACUGACACUGAGGCGCGAAAGCGUGGGGAGCAAACAGGAUUAGAUACCCCUGUAGUCCCUGUCUCUUAUAC
This 301-nucleotide ribosomal RNA is filed under the name uncultured bacterium. RNAcentral describes it as "partial 16S ribosomal RNA". It matches the Rfam family "Bacterial small subunit ribosomal RNA", at positions 509 to 807 of the family's 1533-position model. The record is from RNAcentral.